This 42-nucleotide ribosomal RNA is filed under the name Bertiella ellipsoidea. Its description in RNAcentral is "partial 18S ribosomal RNA". It matches the Rfam family "Eukaryotic small subunit ribosomal RNA". The record is from RNAcentral. Lineage: Eukaryota; Fungi; Ascomycota; Dothideomycetes; Pleosporales; Massarinaceae.
UGUAACAAGGUUUCCGUAGGWGAACCUGCGGAAGGAUCAUUA